RNAcentral lists this unclassified non-coding RNA (348 nucleotides) under Hevea brasiliensis (rubber tree). Lineage: Eukaryota; Viridiplantae; Streptophyta; Magnoliopsida; Malpighiales; Euphorbiaceae. The record is from RNAcentral.
CUGGGCUCUGUCUUAUGUGUGUAUUUAUGUGCGUUUCUGUGAUGGGUGCACCGCAUAGGCUUGUUUAUUAUAAAUGCCCUGUGUGGAUCUUGUGAUUCUUGGCAAAUUAUUCUUUUUUCUCAGCUUUUCAUUAUCUGUAAAGUGUUAUAAUUGUCCUGCUUAUUUCAGGUUCUGUGUUUUGGCAACUUAUGCGUUUUUAUAUAUUAACACUUUUUUAAGUUUUUCUGGUCUUUAUAUAUUCAGAGGACCAGACCUUAACAUUUGCCAUUCUCAUUUUCUCUUCCUGGGUUUGUGAAGGCGUCCUGAUUGCGUCGUUUUCCAGUGUAAUUUUCAGAUGGGUGGUUUUGG